This 459-nucleotide ribosomal RNA is filed under the name uncultured bacterium. Its description in RNAcentral is "bacterial SSU rRNA". It matches the Rfam family "Bacterial small subunit ribosomal RNA", at positions 29 to 531 of the family's 1533-position model. The record is from RNAcentral.
AACGAACGCUGGCGGCAUGCCUAACACAUGCAAGUCGAACGAAGGCUUCGGCCUUAGUGGCGCACGGGUGCGUAACGCGUGGGAAUCUGCCCUUGGGUUCGGAAUAACUCAGAGAAAUUUGAGCUAAUACCGAAUGAUGUCGAAAGACCAAAGAUUUAUCGCCCAGGGAUGAGCCCGCGUAGGAUUAGCUUGUUGGUGAGGUAAAGGCUCACCAAGGCGACGAUCCUUAGCUGGUCUGAGAGGAUGAUCAGCCACACUGGGACUGAGACACGGCCCAGACUCCUACGGGAGGCAGCAGUGGGGAAUAUUGGACAAUGGGCGAAAGCCUGAUCCAGCAAUGCCGCGUGAGUGAUGAAGGCCUUAGGGUUGUAAAGCUCUUUUACCAGGGAUGAUAAUGACAGUACCUGGAGAAUAAGCUCCGGCUAACUCCGUGCCAGCAGCCGCGGUAAAGUCUGUACU